Molecule: ribosomal RNA, 253 nt
Filed under: uncultured bacterium
Lineage: Bacteria
Description: partial 16S ribosomal RNA
Rfam family: Bacterial small subunit ribosomal RNA
Source: RNAcentral
UACGGAGGGUGCGAGCGUUGUCCGGAAUCAUUGGGCGUAAAGGGCGCGUAGGUGGCCCCUCAAGCGUGCGGUGAAAGUCAGGGGCUCAACCCCUGAUCGGCCGUGCGAACUGGGGAGCUUGAGCACUGUAGAGGCAGGCGGAAUUCCGGGUGGAGUGGUGAAAUGCGUAGAGAUCCGGAGGAACACCAAAGGCGAAGGCAGUGUCCUGGGGAGUACCUGACGCUCAGGUGCGAAAGCCAGGGGAGCGAACGGG